UACGUAGGGGGCAAGCGUUGUCCGGAAUCAUUGGGCGUAAAGAGCGUGUAGGCGGUUCGGUAAGUCGGCUGUGAAAGUCCAGGGCUCAACCCUGGGAUGCCGGUCGAUACUGCCGGACUAGAAUUCGGAAGAGGCGAGUGGAAUUCCCGGUGUAGCGGUGAAAUGCGCAGAUAUCGGGAGGAACACCUAUGGCGAAGGCAGCUCGCUGGGACGUUACUGACGCUGAGACGCGAAAGCGUGGGGAGCAAACAGG
RNAcentral lists this ribosomal RNA (253 nucleotides) under uncultured bacterium. RNAcentral describes it as "partial 16S ribosomal RNA". It matches the Rfam family "Bacterial small subunit ribosomal RNA", at positions 524 to 776 of the family's 1533-position model. The record is from RNAcentral.